GGUGGAGGCCCAAGGAUUCUGCUUGCCUCUGAGGAUGCUGAGUCAGAGCUCAGGACCACAAGGAGGAUGCUGGGAGGAAGCCAGGAAGAGCGGAAGGCAGGAUCCGCAAGCCACAGGGUUCCCAGGAGGGAAGGGUUGCUGGGCGCUGGGGAGGGCUGUGUGGGCGGAGCAGCAUCCGGAAGCUGGGAACCGCUCCUGCAUCUCCGCGCACAUCUCCUGCUGCACCGGGAGAAGCGCUCCCGCCCCCAGACCUCCAUUCCGGCUCCUAGCCAAAACCAUGGGUGUCUGGUGUCGCCUCGGCGGCAUCCUCUGGCUCGCCUGCCUUCUGCCCCUAACCCUGGGAAGGGUGCCUACAGGUCUCUAUGAUCUUAAUCUUACCACCAAUGGACCUGCCACCACUGGAGCAGAAGUGACCAUUUCAGCCAGCCUGGUGGCCAAGGACAAUGGCAGCCUCACCCUGCCCCCAGACACCCACCUGUACCAUUUCCACUGGAUCUACUCACCACUGAUGCUCACUGCCAAGAUGGAGAAGGAUCUGACCUCAACCAUCCAAGUGGUGGGCAAUGUGCCUGGGGACUUUCCGGUGUCUGUCUGGGUCACUGCCACCCACUGCUGGAUGUGCCAGCCUGUAGCCAGGAACAUGGUGGUCCUCAACUUUACUGAGUUCCUCAUGGGAGACCUCAUCAUUGCCCAAAACACCUCCCUGCCUUGGCCAAGCUCCUACAUCACGAAGUCAGUCCUUAAAGUCUCCUUUCUCCUCCGUGACCCGAGCAACUUUUUCAAGAUGGCUUCCUUUCUCUACCAGUGGGACUUCGGAGACGGAACUUUGAUGGUGACCAACAAUUCCGAGGUCUAUUAUAAGUAUUCCAUGAUCGGAGCCUUCGUUGUGAAACUGAAGGUCGUGGCAGAAUGGGAACAGACUGAGCCAGACACCACAAAGCGCAUCAUGCAGAAGACCGGCGACUUCUCAGCCUCACUAAAGCUUCAGGAAACCCUUCGAGGCAUCCAGGUUUGGGGACCCACAAUAAUUCAGACCUUCCAAAAGAUGACAGUGACCUUGAACUUCCAGGGGAGCCCGCCUUUGACUGUGUGCUGGCAGCUCAAGCUGGGGUGUCUCCCACUGGAGGAAGGAGAGUGCCACCCUGUAUCUGUGGCCAAUACAUCUUAUAACCUGACGCACAUCUUCCAUGACCCUGGGGACUACUGCUUCAGCAUCCGGGCUGAGAAUGCCAUCAGCAAGACUCACCAGUACCACAGGAUCCAGGUGUGGCCCUCCACCUCUCAGGUCAGCAUGAAGAUCAGAAUCAGAAUUCGAACUCGUGACCACCUAAUGGCAAACACUGAGUGUUUCCAUUCUUCCAUGCUGGCUUUUAGUAGGUGCUCUGUGGGUGAGAACAGAUGUGCCAACGGGAAGCUAAGGCAGAGGACACAGCACCGCUGUGAGGUUUUAUUCUUUCUACGUCACUGUCCAUCCAACACGGUUUCCAGCCUUUUGUCUUUGCUUUCCCAUGUGCCACGCUGAUCUCUGUGAUGCUGGCUUUCGUCAUUUACAUGACUCUGCGGAAUGCUGCUCAUCCUAAGGACAUGGUGGAGAACCCGGAGCCCUCUGGGGUCAGGUGCUGCUGCCGGAUGUGCUGUGGACCCUCCUUUCUGGACACAUCAUCUGAAUACCUUGAAAUCGUCAGAGAGAACCAUGGCCUGCUCCCGCCCCUCUACAAACCUGUGAAAACUUACAAUGUGUGAGCACCCCACCCCCACACCAUCUCAGUGUUCACCGACUGCCCACUGGGAGCUUCAGGCUGGGUGGCAUAAACCACCAAACAGAAGAGGUCCCUACAGGUGGGGCCAUUUGCCCAGGCCUGCCAUUGAUCUGUACAGUUUAGCCGCUCUCACAAGCCCCUUUGUGUCAUUUCCCCCUCAGCUGUCAUCCUCCCAUCCAUUCAGUGUAGUCACUGCUGUUAAGCCUCUCUGAGUCACCUCCCCACCCUCUACCAAGUAGGAAUCUGAUAUUUGGUGUUUUCUCUUAGGUUUCUUCUAAGUGAGUCCGGCUACCCAUCACCAUCUCAUAUUGGUAUCCCUGUUGUCCAUUGGGGAUUCACGCAUCAUUCUGCAGGGCAGCCCUGCCGAUGCUGGAGAGCUAGGAAGGAGGUCAUAGUUGGUUUGGAUUCCAUAGUGAAAGGUCACAUGCACUCAGUUGGGCACACUUACAGCAAGGAAGAAUAUGCGCACGGAGCAUGUAUAAGUUACUUCUCUGUUGCUGUGAUGAAACACUGACUUGGUGAGGAAAGGGUUUAUUUGGCUUACAGCUCACAGUCCAUCAUCAAGGGAAGCCAAGGCUGGAACUUAAGCAGGGCAGGAACCUGGAGGCAGGAACUGAAGCACGGACCACGGAGGGACACUGCUUACUGGCUUGCUCCUCUGGCUGUGUUCAGCCUUCUUUUUUAACCCAGGACCACCUGCCCUGGGUUGGCACUGCCCACAGAGGGCUGAGCCCUCUCACAUUACUCAAUAACCAAGAAAGUGCCCCCCAGACAUGCCUACAGUUCAGUCCAACAGAGGAAAUUCCCCAACUGAGGUUCCCUCUCUGAGGUGUGUCAAGUGAACGACUAAAGUUGUCCAUCACAGAAUGUCACAAAUGAUUAGCAUUAUCUGUAAGGCCCACUGCUGGGAUGGAUCUGAAGUAGGAACUCGGGUGGACUUUGAUCUCCCACACUCAGCCCCAGCAGAGUCCAGCCUCUCUGUCCUUGGUCUCUGCUGCCCUAUUGCCAGGCUGUUCUAUGUUCGACUUAUUGAAAGCUUGGGGCAGGAUGGCCACUCUGAGUGUAGAGUGCUUUAUAAAUUCACCAGCUUUCACUGAAACUCAUAAGUUCAAUGUCCGCUGGGAAAACAGACUUAGAGCAAAAGGAGAGAUUGAGUCAGUUAGGACUUGGGUUCAGAGAGAGAGAGAGAGAGAGAGACAGAGACAGAGACACAGAGAGAGAGAGACCUUGCCCACCCAGCUGCUCCCAAGGUAAUAGAAGGAAGAAACAGGAGGGUCAGAGCGAGAAUGGGAUAGCCAGUCCCAUCUCCUGUCUCCUUCCCUCGUAAAAGGACCUGGAGAAGGCAGAAGAUGGAAAGGAUUGGGUGCCUUGAGAGGUGAUAACUAGGUACUAGAUGCACAUAUUGGGGUGUGCCAGGCAGCCUGCUCCUGUUGAAUGGUUAGGUACAGGCACUCAUAACCAGGUGUUUGGGACAGCCUGUACCUUAUUGAAUGGUUAGGCACAGUUUCACACGUCCAGGUGUGCCGGGGCAGCCUGCACCUGUUGGAUGGUUAGGUACAGGUACAUAUUCAGGUGUGCUGGGGCAGCCUAUACCUAUUGGGGAAGGAAGGUGGAGACUGGGGGCAGGGCUGUGUCACUGCAACACUUUGCCCCUAGACUUUGAGCUCAUUCAGCGUUCACACUGUCCUGCCACUCAUUCUCAUGACAUUCCACCAUUACUGCUGAAUAAAGUGUCAGUGUUCUGAGCACCACCAA
RNA transcript from Nannospalax galili (Upper Galilee mountains blind mole rat), 3515 nucleotides. It is a transcript of the gene named transmembrane protein 130, with no coding region annotated. The transcript has 9 exons. The record is from RefSeq and is a predicted model, not a curated record. Lineage: Eukaryota; Metazoa; Chordata; Mammalia; Rodentia; Spalacidae.